GAGUUUGAUCCUGGCUCAGGAUGAACGCUAGCGAUAGGCCUAACACAUGCAAGUCGAGGGGCAGCACGGGAGCAAUCCUGGUGGCGACCGGCGCACGGGUGAGUAACACGUAUGCAACCUACCCAUAACUGUGGGAUAGCCCGUCGAAAGACGGAUUAAUACCGCAUAACACAGGGGCUCCACAUGGGGAUAUUUGUUAAAGAUUUAUUGGUUAUGGAUGGGCAUGCGCAGGAUUAGGUAGUUGGUGAAGGUAACGGCUCACCAAGCCAUCGAUCCUUAGGGGAACUGAGAGGUUAAUCCCCCACACUGGUACUGAGACACGGACCAGACUCCUACGGGAGGCAGCAGUGAGGAAUAUUGGUCAAUGGUCGAGAGACUGAACCAGCCAAAUCGCGUGAAGGAAGACGGUAUUAUGUAUUGUAAACUUCUUUUAUUGGGGAAUAAAGUGCAGGUCGUGACCUGUUUUGUAUGUACCUGAUGAAUAAGCAUCGGCUAACUCCGUGCCAGCAGCCGCGGUAAUACGGAGGAUGCGAGCGUUAUCCGGAUUUAUUGGGUUUAAAGGGUGCGUAGGUGGGUUUUUAAGUCAGCGGUGAAAUCUCGGAGCUCAACUUCGAAACUGCCGUUGAAACUGGGGACCUUGAGAGUGAACGAGGUAGGCGGAAUUUAUAGUGUAGCGGUGAAAUGCAUAGAUAUUAUAAAGAACCCCGAUAGCGCAGGCAGCUUACCAGGUCACAUCUGACACUGAGGCACGAAAGCGUGGGUAUCAAACAGGAUUAGAUACCCUGGUAGUCCACGCAGUAAACGAUGAUUACUCGCUGGUUGCGAUAUACAGCAAGCGGCUUAGCGAAAGCGAUAAGUAAUCCACCUGGGGAGUACGCCGGCAACGGUGAAACUCAAAGGAAUUGACGGGGGCCCGCACAAGCGGAGGAACAUGUGGUUUAAUUCGAUGAUACGCGAGGAACCUUACCCGGGCUCGAACGGCAGUGGAAUAUCUGUGAAAGCAGGUAGCCAGCAAUGGUCGCU
This 1023-nucleotide ribosomal RNA is filed under the name uncultured Bacteroidota bacterium. Its description in RNAcentral is "bacterial SSU rRNA". It matches the Rfam family "Bacterial small subunit ribosomal RNA", at positions 9 to 1030 of the family's 1533-position model. The record is from RNAcentral. Lineage: Bacteria; Pseudomonadati; Bacteroidota.